UGGGGAAUAUUGCACAAUGGGCGAAAGCCUGAUGCAGCGACGCCGCGUGAGGGAUGACGGCCUUCGGGUUGUAAACCUCUUUCAGUAGGGACGAAGCGCAAGUGACGGUACCUGCAGAAGAAGCACCGGCUAACUACGUGCCAGCAGCCGCGGUAAUACGUAGGGUGCGAGCGUUGUCCGGAAUUACUGGGCGUAAAGAGCUCGUAGGCGGUUUGUCACGUCGUCUGUGAAAUCCUAGGGCUUAACCCUGGACGUGCAGGCGCUACGGGCUGACUUGAGUACUACAGGGGAGACUGGAAUUUCUGGUGUAGCGGUGGAAUGCACAGAUAUCAGGAAGAACACCGAUGGCGAAGGCAGGUCUCUGGGUAGUAACUGACGCUGAGGAGCGAAAGCAUGGGUAGCGAACAGG
RNAcentral lists this ribosomal RNA (409 nucleotides) under bacterium. Its description in RNAcentral is "partial 16S ribosomal RNA". It matches the Rfam family "Bacterial small subunit ribosomal RNA", at positions 355 to 776 of the family's 1533-position model. The record is from RNAcentral.